UACGUAGGGUGCGAGCGUUGUCCGGAAUUAUUGGGCGUAAAGGGCUCGUAGGCGGUUUGUCGCGUCGGGAGUGAAAACCCAGGGCUUAACCCUGGGCUGGCUUCCGAUACGGGCGGACUAGAGGUAUGCAGGGGAGAACGGAAUUCCUGGUGUAGCGGUGAAAUGCGCAGAUAUCAGGAGGAACACCGGUGGCGAAGGCGGUUCUCUGGGCAUUACCUGACGCUGAGGAGCGAAAGUGUGGGGAGCGAACAGG
This 253-nucleotide ribosomal RNA is filed under the name uncultured bacterium. RNAcentral describes it as "partial 16S ribosomal RNA". It matches the Rfam family "Bacterial small subunit ribosomal RNA", at positions 524 to 776 of the family's 1533-position model. The record is from RNAcentral.